RNAcentral lists this ribosomal RNA (1550 nucleotides) under Pectobacterium brasiliense. Its description in RNAcentral is "bacterial SSU rRNA". It matches the Rfam family "Bacterial small subunit ribosomal RNA". The record is from RNAcentral. Lineage: Bacteria; Pseudomonadati; Pseudomonadota; Gammaproteobacteria; Enterobacterales; Pectobacteriaceae.
AAAUUGAAGAGUUUGAUCAUGGCUCAGAUUGAACGCUGGCGGCAGGCCUAACACAUGCAAGUCGAGCGGUAGCACAGAAGAGCUUGCUCUUUGGGUGACGAGCGGCGGACGGGUGAGUAAUGUCUGGGAAACUGCCUGAUGGAGGGGGAUAACUACUGGAAACGGUAGCUAAUACCGCAUAACCUCGCAAGAGCAAAGAGGGGGACCUUCGGGCCUCUCGCCAUCAGAUGUGCCCAGAUGGGAUUAGCUAGUAGGUGAGGUAAUGGCUCACCUAGGCGACGAUCCCUAGCUGGUCUGAGAGGAUGACCAGCCACACUGGAACUGAGACACGGUCCAGACUCCUACGGGAGGCAGCAGUGGGGAAUAUUGCACAAUGGGCGCAAGCCUGAUGCAGCCAUGCCGCGUGUGUGAAGAAGGCCUUCGGGUUGUAAAGCACUUUCAGCGGGGAGGAAGGCGGUGAGGUUAAUAACCUCAUCGAUUGACGUUACCCGCAGAAGAAGCACCGGCUAACUCCGUGCCAGCAGCCGCGGUAAUACGGAGGGUGCAAGCGUUAAUCGGAAUGACUGGGCGUAAAGCGCACGCAGGCGGUCUGUUAAGUUGGAUGUGAAAUCCCCGGGCUUAACCUGGGAACUGCAUUCAAAACUGACAGGCUAGAGUCUUGUAGAGGGGGGUAGAAUUCCAGGUGUAGCGGUGAAAUGCGUAGAGAUCUGGAGGAAUACCGGUGGCGAAGGCGGCCCCCUGGACAAAGACUGACGCUCAGGUGCGAAAGCGUGGGGAGCAAACAGGAUUAGAUACCCUGGUAGUCCACGCUGUAAACGAUGUCGAUUUGGAGGUUGUGCCCUUGAGGCGUGGCUUCCGGAGCUAACGCGUUAAAUCGACCGCCUGGGGAGUACGGCCGCAAGGUUAAAACUCAAAUGAAUUGACGGGGGCCCGCACAAGCGGUGGAGCAUGUGGUUUAAUUCGAUGCAACGCGAAGAACCUUACCUACUCUUGACAUCCACAGAAUUUGCUAGAGAUAGCUUAGUGCCUUCGGGAACUGUGAGACAGGUGCUGCAUGGCUGUCGUCAGCUCGUGUUGUGAAAUGUUGGGUUAAGUCCCGCAACGAGCGCAACCCUUAUCCUUUGUUGCCAGCGAUUCGGUCGGGAACUCAAAGGAGACUGCCGGUGAUAAACCGGAGGAAGGUGGGGAUGACGUCAAGUCAUCAUGGCCCUUACGAGUAGGGCUACACACGUGCUACAAUGGCGUAUACAAAGAGAAGCGACCUCGCGAGAGCAAGCGGACCUCAUAAAGUACGUCGUAGUCCGGAUUGGAGUCUGCAACUCGACUCCAUGAAGUCGGAAUCGCUAGUAAUCGUAGAUCAGAAUGCUACGGUGAAUACGUUCCCGGGCCUUGUACACACCGCCCGUCACACCAUGGGAGUGGGUUGCAAAAGAAGUAGGUAGCUUAACCUUCGGGAGGGCGCUUACCACUUUGUGAUUCAUGACUGGGGUGAAGUCGUAACAAGGUAACCGUAGGGGAACCUGCGGUUGGAUCACCUCCUUACCAAGAAG